AGGUUAAGUUAAUAAGGGCGCAUGGUGGAUGCCUUGGCACUAGAAGGCGAUGAAGGACGUGACUAACUACGAUAUGCCUCGGUUAGCUGUAAGUAAGCUUACCCGGGGGUUUCCGAAUGGGGCAACCCGAUCUUAAUGAUCAUCAUCUUUUUGAAUUCAUAGAUUAGAUGAAGCAAACGCUGUGAACUGAAACAUCUAAGUAGCAGUAGGAAAGUAAAGAAAUUUCGAUUCCGUCAGUAGCGGCGAGCGAACGCGGAAGAGCCCAAACCUGGAUGCUUGCAUCCAGGGGUUGUAGGACUGAUGUUGAGUUACAAAGGUAUAAGAUAGCAGAAACAGUUGGGAAGCUGUUCCAAAGAGGGUGACAGGCCCGUAUGCGAAAUCUUGUACUCUCUAAUCAGGAUCCUGAGUACGGCCCAGCACGUGAAAUUGGGUCGGAAUCUGGGAGGACCAUCUCCCAAGGCUAAAUACUAACUAGUGACCGAUAGCGAACAAGUACCGUGAGGGAAAGGUGAAAAGAACCCCGAAAGGGGAGUGAAAUAGUUCUUGAAACCGUGUGCUUACAAGAAGUUCGAGGCCGUUAAUGGC
RNAcentral lists this ribosomal RNA (585 nucleotides) under Oenococcus oeni. RNAcentral describes it as "bacterial LSU rRNA". It matches the Rfam family "Bacterial large subunit ribosomal RNA", at positions 1 to 593 of the family's 2925-position model. Lineage: Bacteria; Bacillati; Bacillota; Bacilli; Lactobacillales; Lactobacillaceae. The record is from RNAcentral.